AGAGGGUGCAAGCGUUWAUCGGAUUUACUGGGKGUAAAGGGUGCGUAGGUGGUUUUCUAAGUCGGAUGUGAAAUCCUCGGGCUCAACCUGAGAACUGCACUCGAUACUGCGAGAYUAGAGAUCGGUAGAGGGCGGCGGAAUUUCCGGUGUAGCAGUGAAAUGCGUAGAUAUCGGAAGGAACAYCAAUGGCGAAGGCAGCCGCCUGGGCCUGAUCUGACRCUGAGGCACGAAAGCGUGGGUAGCAAACAGGAUUAGAUACCCUGGUAGUCCACGCCGUAAACGAUGAAWACUUGAYGUUGGAUUGUUUUACAUUCCAGUGUCSCAGCUAACGCGAUAARUUUUCCSCCUGGGGAGUACGGCCGCRRGGKUG
Molecule: ribosomal RNA, 370 nt
Filed under: uncultured bacterium
Lineage: Bacteria
Description: partial 16S ribosomal RNA
Rfam family: Bacterial small subunit ribosomal RNA
Source: RNAcentral